CCCUUAGAUGUUCUGGGCCGCACGCGCGCUACACUGACGGGAGCAACGAGUAGGACCUGCACCGGAAGGUGUGGGUAAUCUUUUGAAAUCCCGUCGUGCUGGGGAUAGAUCUUUGUAAUUUUCGAUCUUGAACGAGGAAUUCCUAGUAAGCGCAAGUCAUCAGCUUGCGUUGAUUACGUCCCUGCCCUUUGUACACACCGCCCGUCGCUACUACCGAUUGAAUGGUCCGGUGAAGCGUUCGGACCGUGGCCUUUGGACGGUUCGCCGUCUGUUGGCUGCGGGAAGUUCGUUAAACCUUAUCAUUUAGAGGAAGGAGAANUCGUANCA
RNAcentral lists this ribosomal RNA (327 nucleotides) under uncultured eukaryote. RNAcentral's name for it is "partial 18S ribosomal RNA". It matches the Rfam family "Eukaryotic small subunit ribosomal RNA", at positions 1470 to 1796 of the family's 1831-position model. The record is from RNAcentral.